GAUGAACGCUGACAGAAUGCUUAACACAUGCAAGUCUACUUGAUCCUUCGGGUGAUGGUGGCGGACGGGUGAGUAACGCGUAAAGAACUUGCCCUGCAGUCUGGGACAACAUUUGGAAACGAAUGCUAAUACCGGAUAUUAUGUGAGUUUCGCAUGAAAUUCAUAUGAAAGCUAUAUGCGCUGCAGGAGAGCUUUGCGUCCUAUUAGCUAGUUGGUGAGGUAACGGCUCACCAAGGCGAUGAUAGGUAGCCGGCCUGAGAGGGUGAACGGCCACAAGGGGACUGAGACACGGCCCUUACUCCUACGGGAGGCAGCAGUGGGGAAUAUUGGACAAUGGACCAAAAGUCUGAUCCAGCAAUUCUGUGUGCACGAUGAAGUUUUUCGGAAUGUAAAGUGCUUUCAGUUGGGACGAAGUAAGUGACGGUACCAACAGAAGAAGCGACGGCUAAAUACGUGCCAGCAGCCGCCGCAG
This 472-nucleotide ribosomal RNA is filed under the name uncultured bacterium. RNAcentral's name for it is "partial 16S ribosomal RNA". It matches the Rfam family "Bacterial small subunit ribosomal RNA", at positions 28 to 523 of the family's 1533-position model. The record is from RNAcentral.